AUAAGUGUAGAAUAAAAUUUUUUUAGAAAAAAUUGUCUCUUUCUAAGCACUUGAAAAUAUAAAUGGGGAUAUUUUUGUACUGCACUAUUAUCGGGAAAUAUUUAUUCGUGUGAUUUUGCACUAGUAUUUAUGUCCAGAAUUCCUUAAAGGAAGAGUAGGUAAAAAAUUUUUAUUCUCUCACCUUUUGUAGGCUAUGAAUACCACCAAUUUUUACCAUGAAUAAAGUUAGCAGAUUCUAGUGAAUGGAAAACAGGACAAUUUUGUUAUAUAUUUUGGCAAAGCAUAUGAUAUAAUUUAAUUUAUUUUACUAUGUAAUGUAAUAUACUCUAGAUUAUUCAAUUUAAGCAUUUGCGAACAUCUAUGAUCGAAGUAAUCAAUGCAAUAGAUAUAAAUAAGAGUGGAUUUGGAAUAAAUCUAAUUUAAAUCCCUUACUAAAGGCGAUUUAAAAAUUUCGUUUCAGAAAUGUAUUCCAGCAUGGUGUAUAGAGUACUCAAACUAAAUAUCUGACAAAUAUGCCGUAAUUUGGUUCCAUCAAACCUUAACAAAGAUUGAGUGGCUACAGAAAAAUUGAAUUAUGAUUAAUACGUGAACAUCACCAGUCAUAAAGACCAUUUUUGAUAUUAAAGCUCAAGACCUAAUCAAAAAAUUGGGUAGACAAAUUUCAGUCAAAACAGAAAAUCCUAAAGAUGGAUUUUAUCUUUAUCAAAGACUUGCAAACCAAGUCAUAAAAUCAAAUUUCUAUUGCCUUAUUAGCUCAUUCACCUAUAUAUUUUGUUUUAAUUGUAAUAUAAUAUCACCUAAUUUGUAACUUCUCAUGCAUGUUUUAUUAUACUUGUUAAAUUUGUCAAAGUUAUUGAAUUUUAUGGAAAAAACUUACAUUUCAUUAUAGUUUAUUAAAUUUUUUAUAUUUAUUUUUUUAUCAUA
This is a long non-coding RNA of Gordionus sp. m RMFG-2023, 924 nucleotides long. RefSeq lists it as uncharacterized. The transcript is spliced from 4 exons. The record is from RefSeq and is a predicted model, not a curated record. NCBI's taxonomy places the organism in Eukaryota, Metazoa, Nematomorpha, Gordioida, Chordodea, Parachordodidae.